AAAGCACUAAGAAUAAAAUCAAUUAUAGACACAAAAACAUUCUUAUAUUUUCAAUCUUAAACUCAUAACCUCUAAUUAAAAGUAAUCUUAUCUAUUGCUCAAAAUAGAAUAAACAGAUUAAGAAAAUGAACUAAAUUCUCUGAAACAAGAAUCACAAAAUACACAUCUAGUGAAACAAAAACGGACCCUUUGCAAAUAAAAUCACACCCAUUGAUCCACAAAGAUAAAGAAAAUAAAUGGGUACACACAAAAAGAUGAAAACUUUAUCAAAUAACAAGAAACUGAGACAACAAA
Molecule: long non-coding RNA, 294 nt
Filed under: Capsicum annuum
Lineage: Eukaryota; Viridiplantae; Streptophyta; Magnoliopsida; Solanales; Solanaceae
Description: long non-coding RNA (CANN_LNC022521)
Source: RNAcentral